UAAAAGACCAGGAUAGAAAUAUUUGUAAACGUUCCUCUGAAUAUUAUAUUAUAAAAAUAUUAGAUCAAGAGGAAUUUAUAUGUAUUGUAAUUUGGUAUCGAUAUUGUUCUGCGUUAUUUUUCAAUAUUUUCUUUUUUUUUUAUAUUUUUUUUUCAUUCAUCGUCGACCACGAGUUAUCAUAUAUAUAAAGGACGAAGGCAACGACGACGUUAAUGGGAAUCACGAUUUCCAUUAAUGACAGAACCAGUAGGAGCAAAUUCGUAGCACGACGUCGUUUUCCUUCUCUUCGUCUCUUUGCGGAGAAAUUUUCGGAAGGGGUUAGGGUAAGAAGGAUAAGGGUAAAGGUAGAGAGGUGUAAGGGUAGGUAGGAUGAUAAGGGAAGAGGAAGAGGAAAGUAAUCGAAGCCCACCAAGAGUAGAAAGGAUGAACGAUUCUCGAAAGGAGUUCGACCUUCGGGAAAAAGACUAAGCCAUUAAAAAAUAAUCUUUUUCAUGUAUACGUAAAAAAAAAUUACAGAGAUAACGAUUUAACUUAACUUUUCUUUCCUUUCCUUUUUUUUUCCCCUUUAUCAACGUUGUUAUUUCUCUCUUCGAAACUUUAACCUUUUAAACGCGUUCGUGGUAACGUUUUAAUCGUUAACUGUUACGUGUUUUCUAAACGUGAAAACUUUAUUAACCUAUUAUAACCGUUCGUAUUCUAAGCUCUUCUAUUUUUCUCUCAAACUCCUUUUUGGACUUUCCUGAUUACUCUUUUGCGAAGCCACGUUUUUCUUGGCGUGUUUUUGAAAAAAAGAAAAGAGAGAGAGAGAGAGAGAGAGAGAGAGAGAGAGAGAGAAACCUUUUAUAAAAGUGUUCUAACUUGAAAGCAAUUCCAUGUGUGUAACUAUUACUUUCAUGAAAAAUAUAAAAACGAAGUCGACGAAGCACUUUUUAAAAUAGUUACAUACGUCGAUCGACUCGUUAUAUCGAAAUUAUUUGCCCAUCUUGAUAGAAUUUUGAUUAAUAUAUAUUUCGUUAAACAUUUAUACGAAUUCGAAUGCAGUAUAUACUCGUUUACGAAUUUCGACCAAUCGCGUUUCAUUCGAGCGUCGCGCGAUUCUACUAACGGGGAACAUCGGGACAUGUGUAAAACGUCUCGUAGAGAGUGACAGAAAAUGAGAGAGAGAGAGAGAGAGAGAACUUAGUAAGACCUUUAAAACGAAAACUUUCCAACGUGUUCGACGCUCCUUUCUCGUGACUCCUUACAACGACCUCUUACCUCUUUGGAUUCGUGUUUCCGAAGGUGGCACUCAAGAAGAGAUAAUCUGGGAUUUCGGAAAGGGGUUUGCCUGCCUGCCUGCCUGCCUUUCCUUUCCUUUCCUUUCCUUUCCUUUCCUUUCCAACUUAACGUAAAUCUUCGACAAGUGAAAAUCGUUACGAGAUCUUAGUUGCAUCAUGAUCGAUUUUAUAUCAUGGUAUCUAUAUCUAUGAUCUAAUCAUUUUAUCUCUAAAGUGAUUCGAGUGAAAGAAUGAAAUUCAAUUUAAUUUCUUUUUCAACCAAUUUUUCAUAGAAAUACUUGAUAAUUUUUCUAAGCAAUUUCUAAUACGAUUGAGACCUAUUAUUCGUCUUUAAAGAAAACUAUUAUCAAUAAUAUAGGAUGACAAAUUCUCAAAAUUGCCAAGAGAUUUCAAGACGAAAUAAACGAAAAGGAAGGAGAUACUAUAAUAAAGAACGAACGAGUAAUGCACGAGUGAUCGGAAAAGUAUCAUGGACAAAGACAAUAAAAUAUUAUUACGACAGAUUCAGAUAUUAUUAUUUCUAUAUUGCAGAAAAAGUCGAUACUUUCAUUGCUGCUAUUUGCUUGUGGAUCAUCAAAUUAUAUUUCUCUUUAAUGGGAUAUGGAUCGUAAACGAGAUCGAUACAAUGAUCGAGGAGUGAUCAUCACUAUCAAAUAAAUUGUCUUAAUAAAUUUUCUUAUUGUCAAUGCAUAUUUAUAUGAUCUAUUACUUUUCAUUAAAAGAAAAUCUAAUGUAA
Vespa velutina is the source of this 2013-nucleotide long non-coding RNA. RefSeq lists it as uncharacterized. NCBI's taxonomy places the organism in Eukaryota, Metazoa, Arthropoda, Insecta, Hymenoptera, Vespidae. The record is from RefSeq and is a predicted model, not a curated record. The transcript is spliced from 4 exons.